Paramuricea clavata is the source of this 1134-nucleotide non-coding RNA. Lineage: Eukaryota; Metazoa; Cnidaria; Anthozoa; Malacalcyonacea; Plexauridae. The record is from the annotation of a GenBank genome assembly.
CAUGAUUCUGCAUCGGAAGAAGAUCUAGAAAUUGCCAGAAUUUUAGACGAAAGACAUUCUAAAAACACGACCAAAAGUACUAAAACGGCAUUGACGGCGUUAAUCCGAAAAUAAACAUCGUAUUCACGAAGCCGAAGGUAUGUGUAAUGUGUUAAGUUUUUAAUUCUCAACUUGGAGGCUUUUAAUUUUCGGUAUAAUAUAUCAUUUAUAGACCUUCCGCUCGGGGGAUUCGGCGAAAUAUUACCCUCAGUGACGAUAUUUCCCUCGGGGCAAAGCCCCUCAGGAAAUAUCAUCACUUCGGGUAAUAUUUUGCCGAAUCCCCCUCGCUCCAGGUCUAUAAAUGAUAAUUAUAUUUUCAACGGGGUCUUGAAAGCAGACCAUGCCGUGUAACCUCGUAUAAGAGGUGCACGUGUAUAACGGUGCGCUGUAUUGUGUCUUUAUAUGUCAAUCCAUUGUAGAAAUAUAUCGUAAUUGAAGCUAGCAUUUACUGUAUGUAAAGUUGUUACUUAUUGUUACUAAUUGCAUGGCCAUGGGACUAUAAAUAUGAGCAGUCUGCUCAGUAGGACAUCACGUGAAGCACUACACUGGCAAAACACCGCGUUGGUUUUACAUUUAGAAAUAUAUAUUAUCAAGUCUAUUAUUAUAAAUUGCAGUUUUCGUUUCUUGUUUCGUUCCACUUUAAAUUGUUUUUAUUUACUAGACCGUCGAAUCCCUAGUCCAACCGACAUGUGCUGUCGGACACUGGCAAAACACGUUGGUUUUACAUCUAUCAAUAUAUAUUUUCAAGUCUAUUAUAAAUUGUAGUUUUCGUUUUUUGUUUCGUGCCACUUUGUUUUCCUUUAAUAGGCCGUCGAAUCCCUAGUCUAACAGACAUGUGCUUUCGGUGUGGUAAAAGAAGCCACAGGAGCUCAAGCUCCCAAAAAAUUUGCCUCGCCACGACCCGGUCAGUUUCAACCAGGAUAUUUUCCAAGAUCCACAGCCCCGAGCAGCUCAGUUGAGAGAGUAAACGUUAGCCGAUAAUCCAUUGCAAGAUGUUUAUGAAGACAUAACUCAGGUACAACUUUCCUCUAAUACCUGUGAAUAUAAGCAGCUAUCUAUAGCAAUACCCGGUUUCGUUUCUAAAAGUAAAAUGGA